AUCAUGGAGAGUUUGAUCCUGGCUCAGAACGAACGCUGGCGGAGCGUCUUAAGCAUGCAAGUCGAGCGGUAAGUUGUAGCUUGCUAUAACCUAGAGCGGCGGACUGGUGAGUAACGCGUGGGUGACGUACCCUUUUGACGGGGAUAGCCUGUGGAAACACAGGGUAAUACCGGAUAAGCUCAUAUGUGUCAGAGGC
This 196-nucleotide ribosomal RNA is filed under the name Treponema sp. RNAcentral's name for it is "partial 16S ribosomal RNA". It matches the Rfam family "Bacterial small subunit ribosomal RNA", at positions 1 to 208 of the family's 1533-position model. Lineage: Bacteria; Pseudomonadati; Spirochaetota; Spirochaetia; Treponematales; Treponemataceae. The record is from RNAcentral.